Molecule: long non-coding RNA, 2077 nt
Organism: Myotis davidii
Lineage: Eukaryota; Metazoa; Chordata; Mammalia; Chiroptera; Vespertilionidae
Exons: 3
Source: RefSeq, a predicted model, not a curated record
AGACGUCCUUCUGACUUGCUGAAAUACGAAGGAAACAGAGAAAAGGAGAUUCUUAUAAAAAAUGUGGCCGUGAACCAACUCCAGCAUCCUGUGAACGUACUGAUGGGAGUUUUGUCCUCAAAUUCAGAACUGCUUCAGCAUGACUUCCCCGAGAGCGUCUCCACAUCCUCACUCACCACAAUUGUAUUUGGCUCCUCAUCCGUCCCUCCUGCCACACUGAAUCCCAGACCCGAGCCUUCUUUUUUGGUCAAGACUAUAAAGCAGACAUCUUCUUUAUUCUAUUGAGAAGAAACAGAAGGAAAAAGUAUAUUCCCUGUGCCAAGACUAACAGCAUCCUGAAGGGUGAUCGACCGUUAGGCCGGAUUUUGCUUAUGAGAAGCUCAGUACAGCAUCAGGAAAGCUAGAAUCACCAUCAGGGGCUCCCCAAGGUUUAGCUCUCCAGAAACCAGAAGACCAGGGCUUGUUUUUUGACUCUAGUCUCUCACAGCGCCCUCAGAAGCCAAAGAAACUGUUUUGAACAGUUCCAUUUUCAGCACCUACACACCAUACUCAUUGAGAAAAAGCAAGGCAGGAAACUUCUGGUCUAAAGAUGGCAGAGUGAGGACGUCUGUACUUGCCCGGAACCAACUGAAGACAGCUGCAUGUUGAAGAAAACAAGCAUGAUCUUCAACACCACGCACAACACCUGCCUGCCUGGUGGUGAAUAGGAAGGUGAGGGAGGCCCCACAUGACUCCAGGUGGCGCUCGGCACCCUGUGCACACACACAGUCUACCCUGGGGUCCCUCCCUUUUGUGAGGUUGGUUGAGACCAUUUUAUCUAACAUGAGUACAGGUGGCCCCUGGCACAGUGUGAUCAGACCUUGACUGGAAAUCACCAAGUGAGUCCACGUGCAAAAUGCUUGCUUACUGCAACAAGUGGAAGGAGGGAGGAGACAAUAGAUUAGUCCCUUUUACUGAAGUGAAAAAUGCUAGAUGCCUCACGGUGUUUCCUGGCUGCACAGACCCAGACCAAUGGGCGGAGAACCAGGAGAGGCCGCUAAUGGCCACUGGUCUCAUCCCACCCACCUCCUCUUCCUCUGGCUCACUCCUCAUGGGAGGCCAGCGUCACAGCCCUUCUAGUGUUAGAAUUCUGGAUGAUACCAGUGACCCAGGUACUCAAGGAAAAUUGCUUAUACUUGCUUUUUUCUCUAAGUAGAAAAUUUUCAUUUCUUAGGGUUUGAAUCUCUGUGGCUAGUCCAGAGAAGCAUUCUAGAUAGGAACACCUGGUUUCAAUUGUUACUGUUACCAUCACAUCCAAUUUCUUAUGACUAUUUAGCUUCUUUGUCUGGAACCCCAGGCUUCAGAAACUCUUACACUUGGAGCCAGGGCAAGGCCACACAGGCAUUAACUCAUCUCCCCAGCAGGUGGCGCCCUUGACAGGUAGUUUAUGUCCACCUAGGUGGACAAAGGUGCUUGUGCUCAUUCUCCACCACAAGUACCUUUGAGGACUCUGCAGACAAACUCCAAAUGCAGGGUGGGGUGGGGCGGUCAGUAACUAGUCCCCACUGGGAAAUUAAAUGAGCAACUGCACCAAUCUGGCACCUAAAAACACAAGACAAGGUUUAGCUUCUAAAGCAGUCUGCAAGCAAGUGAGAUUGGGCUGUGAGCUCACAACAGGAGACCUGGAGAAGGGCUCGCGGACCUCUGAGUGCAUGGCCGUACCUGGGCACUGACGUGGCAGCAGUUCUGUGUUCCCUGCAUUGCACUCACCUCUGAUUGUGCUUUCGCUUCCUGCAUGAGAGUCAGGAUGGUAGAUUUUGACCUCGCCGAUGACAAAACAGACUGUAGUCUUUGCUGGUCCCCCGCUGAGACUAGAAGUUGAUCCAAACUAAAUAAUAUAAAUACAUUAGGAGAACAUUAAAGAAAAAACAAUUUAUUUUGUAACGACGCAUUAAAAAUGAUCUCCUUUAGAUUGUAUUGUAGGUAUUUUCAGUGGAAAUAACUAUGGAUUCAGGGAUUCCCCAAGGUGUUAGGGGACCAAUGUGGUAAACCAAAGUUGUUAUAUUAAAAGAUAUACAAUGUAUAGGCUCAAAUGAAA